This 1234-nucleotide ribosomal RNA is filed under the name Bacillus sp. D-1. RNAcentral describes it as "bacterial SSU rRNA". It matches the Rfam family "Bacterial small subunit ribosomal RNA", at positions 200 to 1421 of the family's 1533-position model. The record is from RNAcentral. Lineage: Bacteria; Bacillati; Bacillota; Bacilli; Caryophanales; Bacillaceae.
GUCUUAGCGGCUUCACACACUUAAAAGAAUAUGACCGGGCAAUAGCUAGUGUAGUUAACGUCAGCAGGCGAACGAAUGCGUAGGCGAACUGAGAAGGUGAUCGGGCACACACUGGAACUGAGACACCGGUCCAGAACUCCUACGGAAGGCAGCAGUAAGGGAAUUCUUCCGCCAAUGGACGAAAGUCUGACGGAGGCAACGCCGCCGUGAGUGAUGAAGGUUUUCGGAUCGUAAAGCUCUGUUGUAGGGAAGAACAAGUGCCGUUCAAAUAGGGCGGCAACUUGACGGUACCUAACCAGAAAGCCACGGCUAACUACGUGCCAGCAGCCGCGGUAAAUACGUAGGUGGCAAGCGUUGUCCGGAAUUAUUGGGCGUAAAGGGCUCGCAGGCGGUUUCUUAAGUCUGAUGUGAAAGCCCCCGGCUCAACCGGGGAGGGUCAUUGGAAACUGGGGAACUUGAGUGCAGAAGAGGAGAGUGGAAUUCCACGUGUAGCGGUGAAAUGCGUAGAGAUGUGGAGGAACACCAGUGGCGAAGGCGACUCUCUGGUCUGUAACUGACGCUGAGGAGCGAAAGCGUGGGGAGCGAACAGGAUUAGAUACCCUGGUAGUCCACGCCGUAAACGAUGAGUGCUAAGUGUUAGGGGGUUUCCGCCCCUUAGUGCUGCAGCUAACGCAUUAAGCACUCCGCCUGGGGAGUACGGUCGCAAGACUGAAACUCAAAGGAAUUGACGGGGGCCCGCACAAGCGGUGGAGCAUGUGGUUUAAUUCGAAGCAACGCGAAGAACCUUACCAGGUCUUGACAUCCUCUGACAAUCCUAGAGAUAGGACGUCCCCUUCGGGGGCAGAGUGACAGGUGGUGCAUGGUUGUCGUCAGCUCGUGUCGUGAGAUGUUGGGUUAAGUCCCGCAACGAGCGCAACCCUUGAUCUUAGUUGCCAGCAUUCAGUUGGGCACUCUAAGGUGACUGCCGGUGACAAACCGGAGGAAGGUGGGGAUGACGUCAAAUCAUCAUGCCCCUUAUGACCUGGGCUACACACGUGCUACAAUGGGCAGAACAAAGGGCAGCGAAACCGCGAGGUUAAGCCAAUCCCACAAAUCUGUUCUCAGUUCGGAUCGCAGUCUGCAACUCGACUGCGUGAAGCUGGAAUCGCUAGUAAUCGCGGAUCAGCAUGCCUCGGUGAAUACGUUCCCGGGCCUUGUACACACCGCCCGUCUCUCCACGAGAUUUUGUACCACC